CGGCCACUCAGAGCGUUUCCCGGCGGUGUCCAGCAGGGGGCGCCAUCCCCCCGUUAAAACUCAUUGCGGCCAAUGGGGAACGGCUGGAACCCGGCAGCGACCGGCUCAGAGUCACCGACAGCCAAGAGUGUGGGGUGAGACCCUAUAGGGGACCCUAUAAGGAACCCUAUAAGGGACCCUAUAACAACAGACCCUAUAAGGGACCCUAUAACAUACCCUAUAACAACAGACCCCAUAACAGACCCCAUAACCGGCCCUAUAAGGCCCUAUAGGGGACCCCACAGCCAGCAGUGUGGGGUGAGACCCUAUAGGGGACCCUAUAACCGGCCCUAUAGGGGACCCUAUAUAACAACAGACCCCAUAACAGACCCCAUAACCGGCCCUAUAAGGGACCCCAGAACCGGCCCUAUAAGGGACCCUAUAACAGACCCUAUAAGGGACCCUAUAAGGAACCCUAUAAGGAACCCUAUAAGGGACCCUAUAACAUACCCUAUAAGGGACCCUAUAACAGACCCUAUAACAACAGACCCCAUAACAGACCCUAUAACAGACCCUAUAAGGGACCCUAUAAGGGACCCUAUAACUGGCCCUAUAACAGACCCUAUAAGGGACCCUAUAAGGGACCCUAUAAGGAACCCUAUAAGGGACCCUAUAACAGACCCUAUAAGGGACCCUAUAAGGGACCCUAUAAGGGACCCUAUAACAUACCCCAUAACCAGCCCUAUAAGGGACCCUAUAACAGACCCUAUAAGGGACCCUAUAAGGGACCCUAUAAGGGACCCUAUAACCGGACCUAUAAGGGAUCCCAUAACAGACCCUAUAACAGACCCUAUAAGGGACCCUAUAAGGGACCCUAUAACCAGCUCUAUAAGGGACCCUAUAGGGGACCCUAUAACAGACCCUAUAACAGGACCCAUAACCGGCCCUAUAAAGGACCCCACAGCCAGCAGUGUGGGGUGAGACCCUAUAGGGGACCCUAUAAGGGACCCUAUAACAACAGACCCCAUAACCGGCCCUAUAAGGGACCCUAUAAGGAGUCCUAUAAGGGACCCCAUAACAGACCCUAUAAGGAACCCCAUAACUGGCCCUAUAAGGGACCCUAUAACAGACCCUAUAACAGACCCUAUAAGGGACCCUAUAACAGACCCUAUAAGGAACCCUAUAACAGACCCUAUAAGGGACCCUAUAUAACUACAGACCCCAUAACAGACCCCAUAACCGGCCCUAUAAGGGACCCUAUAAGGGACCCUAUAACAGACCCUAUAAGGGACCCUAUAAGGGACCCUAUAACAGACCCCAUAACCGGCCCUAUAGGGGAUCCCAUAACCGGCCCUAUAAGGGAUCCCAUAACCAACCCUAUAACAGACCCUAUAAGGAACCCUAUAAGGAACCCUAUAAGGGACCCUAUAAGGAACCCUAUAACAGACCCUAUAAGGGACCCUAUAA
This 1446-nucleotide long non-coding RNA is filed under the name Coturnix japonica (Japanese quail). RNAcentral describes it as "lncRNA (ENSCJPG00005002621.1)". Lineage: Eukaryota; Metazoa; Chordata; Aves; Galliformes; Phasianidae. The record is from RNAcentral.